GUUACCUACGGGGCGCAGCAGUGGGGAAUAUUGCACAAUGGGGGAAACCCUGAUGCAGCGACGCCGCGUGAGUGAAGAAGGAUUUCGGUAUGUAAAGCUCUAUCAGCAGGGAAGAAAAUGACGGUACCUGACUAAGAAGCCCCGGCUAACUACGUGCCAGCAGCCGCGGUAAUACGUAGGGGGCAAGCGUUAUCCGGAUUUACUGGGUGUAAAGGGAGCGUAGACGGCAGAGCAAGUCCGGAGUGAAAGCCCGGGGCCCAACCCCGGGACUGAUCUGGAAACUGCUAAGAUAGAGUGCGGGAGGG
RNAcentral lists this ribosomal RNA (305 nucleotides) under uncultured bacterium. RNAcentral describes it as "bacterial SSU rRNA". It matches the Rfam family "Bacterial small subunit ribosomal RNA", at positions 334 to 656 of the family's 1533-position model. The record is from RNAcentral.